Molecule: non-coding RNA, 2086 nt
Organism: Megalopta genalis
Lineage: Eukaryota; Metazoa; Arthropoda; Insecta; Hymenoptera; Halictidae
Source: RefSeq, a predicted model, not a curated record
CCAUUUUAUAAAUGCUCCACCAGAUGCCAGACAAUGGAAGAGACACUGUAGCCGUGGCAACUGUGAAGACUGCGCUCUCGUUCAUCGAUAGGAAGUUGAGAGCGGAGAUGCUGAAGACAGUGUAAGCGAUCAGGAAGGUCCAACCAUGAGCUGCGAUGCUGGAACAGGACUCUGAGUUCUUGAAGUGGCAGCACAAAUGAAAGGAGACCAGAGGAGAGGGCAUAGACUAACCCUGCCUAUCCCGGGCAGCGUGUCCAACCAGCACAAAGACAAGAUGACGAAGAAUGCGAUAGAAUGGAUGUAGAAAAGGGUCUCCAAAAUGGGAGGCUUUGGAAUGUGUUUUGGCUUGACAGUGGGGUCAGGGUCUGUCACAUGUAACAAUCUGCCACCCUCCUCUUCGGAUCCACGACGUCUGAUAUCCCUGGAUGACACCAGACGAGACACUGUAUAAAGGAAUGAGUUCUGCUGACUGGCAACUAUCUGGCACAUGUUCUGUUGCUGAAAGAAAAAUAUUUAUAGCACCAGCGUCCAAUAAAUACUUAAUGUUAAAUAUUAAAUAUAUUGUUUUAGUAGAUACGUAUAACAAUUCUGAUUGCAUACUUCGGUAGUGUAGUGGCCUUCCAGCAAAGUGAAAAACAUGGCGAAGGCAGCCAGUGAACCCACGUAGACGAAAGUCCAAAUAGCCCUGACGCCCCAAGAUCCUCUCACGCCGGCUGUGUGGGCGGAAACCUCCCUGCCACGGCAUCGAAAUUCAUCGCAGAGUCCGUAGUCGACGCUUAUGAACAGGCCGACAAUUAUUGUGGUGCUCGAGAAGAUCCGUUGCAAGCUCAUCACUGAAACAAGUGUUCCCUAUUACACCCACUUGUCCUGGAUCUCGAAAGUGAAUCAUUAGAAGCGCAUUAAUGCAACUCUCCCGGCAGCAGCGGUCGAAAAACGACUUUUAGACAUUUUUUGAAGCGACACUAAUGGCCAAUUCAGUAUGGGAUUUUUCUAACAACUCUUUCCUAAACUUGGCAUCCGUAAGAAAAUGCAAACAAACUUUUAUGCAAAGACAAAUAGAAACGUAUGGUAAUGAACAGGAUGUGUACUUUUUCGGCAGAAGAAGAAGUAAUAGACGAGGGAAAAGACCAGAGUGAUUCCCUUGAUUGGAUCCUGGAGAUGACAGACCACCCUGCUUUGGUCUAAGCAGAGUGUGAUCAAAAUCCCGGAAAGGGCGUAGACGAAGCUUAUUUUGAGUAGAGCACAGCGUGGUAUCUUGAUCCUCAUGCUGUUGGGAAUCAAUGGUGGUGGUGGUGAAAUUCUUCCAACAACAAACCACACUAUGCCGAGAAUGCAGGUGGAACUCAGGGCGGUAAAAAGCAACCCUGAAAUCGCAUCAAUUGUUAGCAGUCAGUCUAGACAGUUCUACACAUUUAACAAUUAAUUGUACUCGCUCAAUCUUCCAGUGUGCUCCUAAUAUAUUGUACUAUCAAUAGGAACAAUAGUAAAACUCUUCUUUGUUGACAUGUUUCCAAAGAUAAUUACUAAUACGUCAGAUUAGAUAAUCCAUAAAUCUGAGUGGAGAUAAAUGGUGAUGCGGUUGAAGCAGAUGCGAAAUUGUGGAGAAUAAUUAACGGUGGUAUUGAAGCAGUACAAUUAACAUGAUCCAGAAUGUUCAAAGCCAGGAACCUGUGUAGGCGCUGGAAACAGUGCUGACGCUCUCCAGAUAAAGGGGAUAGGUGAUAAUCAGAAAGGUGAUGGACAUGACGACAGCGAAGAGGGUGACGAUGAAGCUGAAUUUUUGCCAUCCAGCUCGGUCCGUAUCAAACAGCUUAUCAGUGGCCUGAUAAGCAACAUAUGGCGACUCCUCGGUGUCCGUGUAUUCCUCGAUCUCGACGUCGCUUCCUGUGCAGCGAAGCUCUUCCUGUUCCUCGUCGUCCACCAUUGUCGAGACGCAACCACUUAGACUUGCCAUUCUUUUCUGCUUCUUCUCAGCUUCUUCUGUCAUUGAAAAUAUAUAGCAAUUAGCAAUCGAUUAACAUAUAAUGGCACGUUCAGUAAAAUUAUUAUAUUUUUGACGGUAGAGUAAAAAAUUGGUUGAUUACGA